Molecule: ribosomal RNA, 437 nt
Filed under: uncultured bacterium
Lineage: Bacteria
Description: bacterial SSU rRNA
Rfam family: Bacterial small subunit ribosomal RNA
Source: RNAcentral
GCACAACGCGAAGAACCUUACCACCUUUUGACAUGCCUGGACCGCUGCAGAGAUGCAGUUUUCCCUUCGGGGACCAGGACACAGGUGCUGCAUGGCUGUCGUCAGCUCGUGUCGUGAGAUGUUGGGUUAAGUCCCGCAACGAGCGCAACCCACGCCAUUAGUUGCCAUCAUUUAGUUGGGCACUCUAAUGGGACCGCCGGUGGUAAGCCGGAGGAAGGUGUGGAUGACGUCAAGUCCUCAUGGCCCUUACAGGGUGGGCUACACACGUGCUACAAUGGCGACUACAGAGGGCUGCAAGCCAGCGAUGGUGAGCCAAUCCCUAAAAGUCGUCUCAGUUCGGAUUGGAGUCUGCAACUCGACUCCAUGAAGUUGGAAUCGCUAGUAAUCGCGAAUCAGCUAUGUCGCGGUGAAUACGUUCCCGGGUCUUGUACACACCG